GUGCCAGCAGCCGCGGUAAUACGGAGGAGGCAAGCGUUAUCCGGAAUUAUUGGGCGUAAAGCGUCCGUAGGUGGUGAGUCAAGUCUGCUGUUAAAACGUGGAGCUUAACUCCAUAUCGGCAGUGGAAACUGGCUUGCUAGAGUGCGAUAGGGGCAAGGGGAAUUCCCAGUGUAGCGGUGAAAUGCGUAGAUAUUGGGAAGAACACCGGUGGCGAAAGCGCCUUGCUGGGUCUGCACUGACACUGAGGGACGAAAGCUAGGGGAGCGAAAGGGAUUAGAUACCCUGGUAGUCCUAGCCCUAAACGGUGCUUGCUUGCUGUAAGAGGAAUCGACCCCUCUUGUGGCGGAGCUAACGCGUUAAGCAAGCCGCCUGGGAAGUACGGUCGCAAGAUUAAAACUCAAAGAAAUUGACGGGA
This 415-nucleotide ribosomal RNA is filed under the name uncultured Leptolyngbya sp. RNAcentral's name for it is "bacterial SSU rRNA". It matches the Rfam family "Bacterial small subunit ribosomal RNA", at positions 505 to 918 of the family's 1533-position model. Lineage: Bacteria; Bacillati; Cyanobacteriota; Cyanophyceae; Leptolyngbyales; Leptolyngbyaceae. The record is from RNAcentral.